Molecule: ribosomal RNA, 460 nt
Filed under: uncultured bacterium
Lineage: Bacteria
Description: partial 16S ribosomal RNA
Rfam family: Bacterial small subunit ribosomal RNA
Source: RNAcentral
CCUACGGGAGGCAGCAGUGGGGAAUAUUGGGCAAUGGACGCAAGUCUGAACCAGCAAUGCCGCGUGCAGGAAGACGGCUCUAUGAGUUGUAAACUGCUUUUGUACGGGGGUAGACGCAGAUACGCGUAUCUGUCUGAAAGUAUCGUACGAAUAAGGAUCGGCUAACUCCGUGCCAGCAGCCGCGGUCAUACGGAGGAUUCAAGCGUUAUCCGGAUUUAUUUGGUUUAAAGGGUGCGUAGGCGGUCGUAUAAGUUAGAGGUGAAAUCCCGGGGCUCAACUUCGGAAUUGCCUUUGAUACUGUUCGGCGAGAGAGUAGGUGAGGUAGGCGGAAUGUAUGGUGUAGCGGUGAAAUGCUUAGAGAUCAGACAGAACACCGAUUGCGAAGGCAGCUUACCAAGCUACUUCUGACGUUGAGGCACGAAAGCGUGGGGAGCAAACAGGAUUAGAUACCCUUGUAGUC